Molecule: ribosomal RNA, 573 nt
Filed under: Triticum aestivum (bread wheat)
Lineage: Eukaryota; Viridiplantae; Streptophyta; Magnoliopsida; Poales; Poaceae
Description: partial small subunit ribosomal RNA
Source: RNAcentral
AUGGGUUUCAUGAAUCACCAUAUCCAGAGAUUCGUCGACACAGCUUGUUGCCGGAAUUAUCGAUGCAAUUCGAAGAAGGAUUGGUCGGUGCUGCCGGCUGGCGUCAAGUUCGAUCCCACAGAUCAAGAGCUGAUCGAGCACCUUGAGGCCAAAGUGAGUGCUGACAGCGCGAGAUUUCAGUCUCUCAUCGAUUUGUUCAUACCAACCAUCGACAGCGAGCAUAGCAUAUGCUACACCCAACCUGAGAAACUUCCAGGUAUCACACUGAGUGGCCUAAGGAAGCAAUUCUUCCAGCGCAAUUCCAGGGCGUUCAAAAGGGGCACAUGGACGCGUUGCAAGAUACAGUCGGAGUGCGGCAUGCACGCAAUGUGGCACAAGACCGACAAUACCUUGCCGGUGAUGGUCAACGGCCGGCAGACGGGCACCAAAAAAGGUUCUGCUGUUGCACACCAACAAGAACUUCGACCAGCAGAGGACCAACUGGGUGAUGCACCAGUACCACCUCGGGGACCUGGAGCAAGAGAAGGAGCGGGAACUGGUCCUCUGCAAGAUUUUCUACCAGACGAACACUAG